GUCGGCGCGGCCGGCGGCGGGGGCGCGCGCGGGGCCGGGCCUGGCUGCUCGGGCGCGCGCCGCGGGGCCCGCCCCGUCCCCGUCCUGCCCGCAGGCGCCGGACCCCGCAGUCGGCCUCGGCGGGCGCACCCAGCGAGUCACCACUUAAAGGAGACAGCAUAAGGAAUUCAUCUUAUUACCAAUGGCAUUUCAAUAUUUAUGAAAUUUGAAAAUUGUAGCUGCAGUUCUGAUUCAUGGAUCGUCAAAGAAAGCAGAGAACAUAGGCUCUUCAAAAGGGGCAGGUUUGGGCAGAUUUGAAGACUGAUACUAAAACAGGAGCUGAAAAUAUAAUGGUGAACAAAACAUUUUGUUCCUGCUCUCACAGAACUUAAGGUUUAGUGAGGAAGAUAAAACCAAACAAGCAAGUAACAGAAGACCUGUCUGAGAUGUGGUGGUUUCAGCAAGGCCUCAGUUUCCUGCCCUCCGCCCUUGUCAUUUGGACGGCUGCUGCUUUCAUAUUUUCGUACAUUACUGCCAUCAUUCUCCACCAUGUUGACCCUGCGUUGCCUUAUAUCAGUGACACUGGUACCAUCGCUCCAGAAAAGUGCCUGUUUGGGGCAAUGUUAAAUUUCGCCGCAGUUUUAUGCGUUGCUACCAUUUAUGUUCGUUAUAAGCAAGUUCAGGCUCUGAAUCCCGAAGGGAAAUAUACCUCCAAGUUAAACAAGGCUGGCUUCGUACUUGGAUUGCUGAGUUGUUUAGGACUUUCUUUUGUGGCAAAUUUCCAGAAAACAACCUUUUUUGCCGUGCAUAUAUGUGGAGCUGUUCUCACCUUUGGUAUGGGCUCAUUGUAUAUGUUUGUCCAGACCGCCCUUUCCUACCUAAUGCAGCCCAAAAUUCAUGGCAAACAGAUCUUCUGGGUCAGACUACUGCUGGUCAUCUGGUGUGGAGUGAGCGCAUUUAGCAUGCUGACGUGCUCCUCACUCCUGUACAGUGGCCAUUUUGGCUCAGAUAUAGUACAGAAGCUCCACUGGAACCCCGAGGACAAAGGCUAUGUGCUUCACAUGAUUACUACCGCAGCAGAAUGGUCUAUGUCGUUUUCCUUCUUUGGUUUUUUCCUGACUUAUAUCCGUGAUUUUCAGAAAAUUUCUUUGCGAGUGGAAACCAAUUUACAUGGAUUAACCCUCUAUGACACUGUUCCUUGUCCUAUUAACAACGAGCAAACACACCUACUUUCCAGAGAUGUAUGAUGAAAAGAUGAAACAUGCGAUGAUUAUGAUUCUCAGGGAUUGGGAACACAUUCAUAAGUUACUACUACUGAUCUGAAAUUUUCCACCAAUUAAAGCUGACAGUGACAUUGAUGGGUCCUGAUAACCAAGAAUCAUGAAGUAAGCCAAUUUAUAAAUUAUUUCAAGGGAUAUAUUCAAGUGGAUCAUGUAAAACCAUUUCUGCCUAUACUUUUUUUACUCACAGGAAAUAAAACCAAAGGACAAUAGCACUAGAUUUUUUUUCUACUUUAUUGAAGUGAAACACCAGAAGUGCACUGAACCAUCUGCAGAAUCCAGCAUUUCACGUUUUAGAAAUUAUUGUAAAGCAUGUUUUGUUUGGAGCACUUACUCAAGUCAUUUUCCAGGACACCAAGUAAUUAGCAUUGCUCAGCAGCUCCUUUCAAAUUGGGUUUUGCAGUAAUAGUUUUACCAUAUUAAUACAUUUCUUAUAGUCUUUUAAAAAAAAAUUUUCUGGAAUUCACCAAUAAAGGGAAGCAGACCUGAAUUCAUAUACCAUCUGUGGUUAGUUAGUUUUAGUGGUAUUGAAUUGAUGCCUGCCACAAAGCCAGAUAUUAUGCUAACUGGUCUGUCACACAUGGUUAUAAUAAUUUCAUGAAACUUAGUCUCUGAUAAGAGAUUUUAACUAAAACAGAGAAGCAGCUAUAGUUAAAUUUAUGCCAAUCAUGUUUUGCAUAAAACGAAGGUUAGUGUUCAUUCAUGAAUCUGAGGACUUUGUGAAUAACAGCAGAUAUCAUUAAUAAUAGUUACCUUAAACUACAGUCAAGAACUUUUUAUAGAUUUUUUCUUUAUAGCAAAUUAUAAUUACUUGUAAAAGUAGCCUUGAGCAGGCAAAUAUUGAAGCUUUUUACUGGGCUGUGAUGUUUGUAGAAGUCAGAUUCUAAAGGACAAAAUGAGCAACUUGAAAAAACUAGGUACAAAAUAAUUAUGAUACAUACAUCUCUCUGGUCAUGGCACGUGAUUGGAUAGCUUGUACCAAAAUUUCUACCUAUGUAGAUAAAGAAUGAUUUACAGCCCAGCUGGUGUAGCUCAGUGGUUGAGGGUCAACCUAUGAACCAGGAGGUCCCAUUUCUAGUCCUGGUUCGAUUCCCUGUCAGGGCACAUGCACAGGUUGCAGGCUUGAUCCUCAGUGUGAGGCGUGCAGGAGGCAGCCAAUCAAUGAUUCUCAUCACUGAUGUUUCUAUCUCUCCUGCUCCCCGUCCCUUCCUCUCUGAAAUCAGUAAAAAUGUAUUUAAAAGUAAAAAAGAAUGAUAUACAGAUUCCAGAUGAAAUUUAGAAGGAGAAAAUGCUCACCUGGAAGAUGACCAUGACAAACUGAUUUGCAAAAGAAUCCUUGAAGAAGAUUAACAAGCUUUAUCUUUUUAGAGGAAAUGGGUCCACUGCCAGAAUAAAAGAUGUGCGACCACACCUGGAAUACAGCAUCCAGUCCUGAUUGUUCUAUAUCAAGGAAACUAUAAUUCAGUUAUGAAGACCACAGUAUGGUGAGGGGGAAAUUGAUUGAAUUAAGUUUAUAAAAUUAUAAAUUAUGUGUGGAUAAGGUGGCACAGGGGAAGAUGUGGACGUGUACGUCCAUACUGGAAUAUCAGGCUUAGAGAUAUACAUAACACAUUAAAUAAAGUAUUGUAAAAUAAAAAUAUUAGUUUGA
This is an RNA transcript of Myotis daubentonii (Daubenton's bat), 2907 nucleotides long. It is a transcript of the gene named DNA damage regulated autophagy modulator 2, with no coding region annotated. NCBI's taxonomy places the organism in Eukaryota, Metazoa, Chordata, Mammalia, Chiroptera, Vespertilionidae. The record is from RefSeq and is a predicted model, not a curated record.